RNAcentral lists this unclassified non-coding RNA (336 nucleotides) under Ficus treubii. RNAcentral describes it as "partial contains external transcribed spacer and 18S ribosomal RNA". Lineage: Eukaryota; Viridiplantae; Streptophyta; Magnoliopsida; Rosales; Moraceae. The record is from RNAcentral.
GACCCUUGGUUCCUGUGUUGCCUUCCCAUCAUAUGGAAAAUUUCAUGAGAUAGCCCCGCCCCGCCACUUUCCUCCAUGUGGCUUUGCGGCUACAAAGCGAACCUCGAAAGCAGUCCCCGUGUCCCCGACAUAUCCUCUGACUUUUGUUGUGGCUAUCUUGGUCCAUAGGAGAACUGCUUGCACUCUCGGAUAUGGAAAAUUAAGCGGACAUGGGGGAUCUUGGCCUUYGGUUGCGCCAAUCAAGUCCCUCGAUAGGAAUGACUUUUGSUACCUCAUUGACUGCAGGCCCUCUAGGCCCNUGGCAUCAAUGCGGGUCCGAAGUCGAGAAAGAAUGCU